RNAcentral lists this non-coding RNA (101 nucleotides) under Gimesia panareensis. The record is from RNAcentral. Lineage: Bacteria; Pseudomonadati; Planctomycetota; Planctomycetia; Planctomycetales; Planctomycetaceae.
GAGAGCCGUGUGCGGUGAAAGUCGCAAGCACGGUUCGGAGGGGGGCAGUUGGAAAAGUGCUUGACCGGGACGUCAAGGAACUCGCUGGCUGCCUACCCUAC